CGGAGCGUGGCGCAGCCUGGUAGCGCACUUGCAUGGGGUGCAAGGGGUCGGAGGUUCGAAUCCUCUCGCUCCGA
RNAcentral lists this transfer RNA (74 nucleotides) under Chitinimonas taiwanensis DSM 18899. It matches the Rfam family "tRNA". Rfam says of the family: Transfer RNA (tRNA) molecules are approximately 80 nucleotides in length. The record is from Rfam by way of RNAcentral. RNAcentral also lists the same sequence under 1 other name. Lineage: Bacteria; Pseudomonadati; Pseudomonadota; Betaproteobacteria; Neisseriales; Chitinibacteraceae.